GACGGAGGAUGCAAGCGUUAUCCGGAAUUAUUGGGCGUAAAGCGUCCGCAGGUGGCAUUUCAAGUCUGCUGUCAAAGACCGGGGCUUAACCCCAGAAAGGCAGUGGAAACUGAAAAGCUAGAGAUAGGUAGGGGCAGAGGGAAUUCCCAGUGUAGCGGUGAAAUUCGUAGAGAUUGGGAAGAACACCGGUGGCGAAAGCGCUCUGCCGGGCCUUAUCUGACACUCAGGGACGAAAGCUAGGGGAGCGAAUGGG
This 253-nucleotide ribosomal RNA is filed under the name uncultured bacterium. Its description in RNAcentral is "partial 16S ribosomal RNA". It matches the Rfam family "Bacterial small subunit ribosomal RNA", at positions 524 to 776 of the family's 1533-position model. The record is from RNAcentral.